GGGUCUCCUGGCCUGGCUACCAACAUGCCUGUGGCUUCUCAUUGGGCCCCGUGAGUGCUGGCAGGGCUGUGAAGCAGGUGUGACUAAUGGGUCAGCUCCCCGCUGGGACUGUGACCCUGAAGCUAACAAACCUAAGGGCAAGGCCAGGCGCAGCAGCUUUCUGAGUCUCUUCUGAAGUGGCUUGAAGUCGAUACUGUGUGUGUAUGUAAGAUCUAGCCUGAAGGAAGGCGCUUUGUUCAGUUGCUAACUUAUUUUCUUGGUGCUCAGCCAGACAGUCAAAAGGAGAGCAACUUAGCAGAAGAUUUUGGUCUAGCUGAGGAUUCAGAUCACUGAAGAACUUAAGUUUAGGCUGUUAAACAAAAUUAUGGGAGCCCGUUAUUUUGGACUGAACUCCUGUACUAGGCCCCAACAGACGAGACCAAACCAAAAUGGAGUCAUUCAUGCUAAAUGCCUCGUCAUCAAAUAGAAGCUUUAAGGAAGCAGAUAGAUCCAACAUAGACUAGUUUUUCUUGAGAACAGAAGAUUCCAGUCUACCUGUGUCAGUGCAAUAAGGAAGUCCUCUCUGCUUUAAUUUUUACACAAAAAGUAACCUCAUGUUAGCCAAUCCGACUUUAAAAUUUUUUUUUUCCUAUUUCCUUGUUCUCACCUUACAAAACCCACUGUUCUGCUGCUGUCCAGCAGGAACCCUCAUGCUGUUUUGUAGAAUGGAAGCUGCCCUGAUUCAUGAAUUGCAAAUAAAAGCCAAUUAGAUCUAUAA
Homo sapiens (human) is the source of this 757-nucleotide long non-coding RNA. NCBI's taxonomy places the organism in Eukaryota, Metazoa, Chordata, Mammalia, Primates, Hominidae. The record is from Ensembl.